Molecule: ribosomal RNA, 391 nt
Filed under: uncultured bacterium
Lineage: Bacteria
Description: bacterial SSU rRNA
Rfam family: Bacterial small subunit ribosomal RNA
Source: RNAcentral
AUUGAACGCUGGCGGAAUGCUUUACACAUGCAAGUCGAGCGGCAGCGCGGGGCAACCUGGCGGCGAGCGGCGAACGGGUGAGUAAUGCAUCGGAACGUACCCAGUCGUGGGGGAUAACUGUCCGAAAGGACAGCUAAUACCGCAUACGUCCUGAGGGAGAAAGCGGGGGAUCGCAAGACCUCGCGCGAUUGGAGCGGCCGAUGCCGGAUUAGCUAGUUGGUAGGGUAAAGGCCUACCAAGGCGACGAUCCGUAGCUGGUCUGAGAGGACGACCAGCCACACUGGAACUGAGACACGGUCCAGACUCCUACGGGAGGCAGCAGUGGGGAAUUUUGGACAAUGGGGGCAACCCUGAUCCAGCCAUUCCGCGUGAGUGAAGAAGGCCUCGGUUG